This 179-nucleotide long non-coding RNA is filed under the name Capra hircus (goat). RNAcentral's name for it is "lncRNA (ENSCHIG00000007116.1)". The record is from RNAcentral. Lineage: Eukaryota; Metazoa; Chordata; Mammalia; Artiodactyla; Bovidae.
CUGAAACUCAUCCAGUAUGCCCUUCUAUUUCCAGGUCCUGUAGCCUCUGAAAGUCUUACCUCAGUGACUGCUCAUGGUGCCAACCUCUUGGGUCAAGAGUCCUGUUGUUGCAGGAUCUCAAAGCUUCAGGCCUUGAAGGGGCAGAGGACUCCUACAUCAGCAAACGCAUGGACUUUAAC